This 305-nucleotide long non-coding RNA is filed under the name Elaeis guineensis (African oil palm). RNAcentral's name for it is "long non-coding RNA (EGUI_LNC027787)". The record is from RNAcentral. Lineage: Eukaryota; Viridiplantae; Streptophyta; Magnoliopsida; Arecales; Arecaceae.
GGGUCAAGUAGCACCGAGUUUUCUACUCAAGCAUAAGAAAACAGAUCUAAGAAAUAUGGAUGUCUCCAGAUACCUGACUUGAAAUGAAAGCCAAAGCCAAUUCUGGUUCACAACUCUUUCCAUGAGAUUACACUAAAAUCUUUAAAAUCAAGCAGAACUUCAGCUCAAGUGUUGAAAAAAUAUUAGCAUAUGUAAGUAAUGGCUAUCACAAAACGCAUAGAGGAUGGUUAAAGUAAUAUGCGCAGGGAUUUCCUGUAUAAGAAAAUAAGAGAUACCUUAAGCAUCAAGGUCCAAUAUUGGAGCAC